GACGAACGCUGGCGGCGUGCUUAACACAUGCAAGUCGAACGGAAAGGCCCUGCUUUUGUGGGGUGCUCGAGUGGCGAACGGGUGAGUAACACGUGAGUAACCUGCCCUUGACUUUGGGAUAACUUCAGGAAACUGGGGCUAAUACCGGAUAGGAGCUCCUGCUGCAUGGUGGGGGUUGGAAAGUUUCGGCGGUUGGGGAUGGACUCGCGGCUUAUCAGCUUGUUGGUGGGGUAGUGGCUUACCAAGGCUUUGACGGGUAGCCGGCCUGAGAGGGUGACCGGCCACAUUGGGACUGAGAUACGGCCCAGACUCCUACAGGAGGCAGCAGUGGGGAAUAUUGCACAAUGGGCGGAAGCCUGAUGCAGCAACGCCGCGUGCGGGAUGACGGCCUUCGGGUUGUAAACCGCUUUCGCCUGUGACGAAGCGUGAGUGACGGUAAUGGGUAAAGAAGCACCGGCUAGCUACGUG
This 468-nucleotide ribosomal RNA is filed under the name uncultured bacterium. Its description in RNAcentral is "partial 16S ribosomal RNA". It matches the Rfam family "Bacterial small subunit ribosomal RNA", at positions 28 to 507 of the family's 1533-position model. The record is from RNAcentral.